This is a long non-coding RNA of Dioscorea cayenensis subsp. rotundata (Guinea yam), 1227 nucleotides long. RefSeq lists it as uncharacterized. The transcript is spliced from 4 exons. Lineage: Eukaryota; Viridiplantae; Streptophyta; Magnoliopsida; Dioscoreales; Dioscoreaceae. The record is from RefSeq and is a predicted model, not a curated record.
GCAGCUGCUGAGCCUGCAUCAGAGCCAGACCUGUCAGGCAUAGCUCUCUAUCUCUCUACACCAGGCUGCUGUGCCUCUGCUUCCUUUUGUUGCUGUUGUCCCUGCCAGCUUUACUGAAACUCAUAAACAAAAGUGUUGCCAAGAGUAGCUUAGAAAAAACACAAGUAUUGGUAAAGCAAAAGGUGAGAAUGUGAUUGUGAGUGGAGGAAGAAAGAGAGCGGGAAAGAACCCUUGUGGCACUGUACAAUGUACAGUGUACUCUUCACUGCUGCCACUCAGUCUCUGUCUCUCAGCUUCAUUUUCCACUAUUUUUUCCCCCUUAUUUUUUAGCCCUGCUUUUUUACUGUAGUUAUUUUAUUUACCUGAAAACACAUGUCAGGUUUUUGGAUAUUAGGCAUUAUUGCAGGCACAUCUGAAAGCUUGUGGAGUUUGAACUUUGAAUGGAGCUGUGAGUCUGUGAGCCAGUCCAAUCAACCAUGAUUGCUCUCAAGGUUGAAAAGGUUAAAAAGUAUUCAAUGGUGUUAUUAGUUGCUAGUUUAAUAGUUAAAUAUAGUAAAAUUCUUUAAUGGGUCUAAAGCUUCCAGUGUAGUAGUGGCUGGCACUUGAUAAGGUUAGCACAUUCCUUUCUCCAGUCUUCACUGUAUUCAUUGAGGUUGGUGUUUGCAUGUACUAUUGGCAUCUUUGGUGUGCAAACUGAAGAUGGGCCCAUUGAUGAGAUGCUUGUGAAUGCAAAAGGAGGAAGCAGAAGAGGGAGGCCCCCACAUGUAAUAAGUUUUUCUUUCUGGCGUCAUCUAGUCUGUGCAUUCACUGGGAGACCACCCUGAUCCUUUUCAAUUCAUCAGAGAUGUCAGCAAAUUCUGAAGCCUCUGGUUUAUCAUGUUAUAUCUGCAUAUGUAUGUAAGUCUGGUAAAUAGUGCAAGAGUUUUUCAGUUUGGGUGGGCCUCAGGCUCUACUUUGAAUCUGCAAGUCCACACAUGCUUUCUCUGGAACUCUGACGCCGGCCCACGUUUCGCAAUGGACAAAGUUUAACUACUACCAUUACUAAUUCUGAUGCUCCAUCUUAUUUAUUAUUAUUUAGGUUCUAUGAUGUUUUGUCAUGCUUUAGUACACAACAUUUUUUGGGUUUUUUUUUACCAAGUUUGCCACCAUCACAAUUACAAUUAUCAAACAGUGAGUUAUUUGACAUUUAUUCAAAUUGUUUUUUAUACAUGAUUGAGAUUUAAAUAA